RNAcentral lists this ribosomal RNA (253 nucleotides) under uncultured bacterium. RNAcentral describes it as "partial 16S ribosomal RNA". It matches the Rfam family "Bacterial small subunit ribosomal RNA", at positions 524 to 776 of the family's 1533-position model. The record is from RNAcentral.
UACGGGGGGGGCAAGCGUUGUUCGGAAUUACUGGGCGUAAAGGGUUCGUAGGUGGCCAACUCAGUCAGACGUGAAAUCCCCCGGCUUAACCUGGGAACUGCGUCUGAUACUGGAAGGCUCGAGUUUGGGAGAGGGAUGUGGAAUUCCAGGUGUAGCGGUGAAAUGCGUAGAUAUCUGGAGGAACACCGGUGGCGAAGGCGGCAUCCUGGACCAACACUGACGCUGAGGCGCGAAAGCUAGGGGAGCAAACGGG